RNAcentral lists this long non-coding RNA (556 nucleotides) under Monodelphis domestica (gray short-tailed opossum). RNAcentral describes it as "lncRNA (ENSMODG00000036292.2)". Lineage: Eukaryota; Metazoa; Chordata; Mammalia; Didelphimorphia; Didelphidae. The record is from RNAcentral.
CAAUGUUCCCAAAGGAUAUUUAUGAAGUAACUAAGGGAGAAACAAAUAUAAGAAAAACAGAAAAGCAUGGGAAUAACUGGAGAUGAAGAAACAAUUAUGGAAAGGUCAACAAUUUUCCAGAUGUGGAUUGAAGACCCUAUAACAUCUCUGACACUCUUUAAAGAGAAAUGUCAUUCCUCAAAAAAAAGUGUAAACAGACACUGAGAUGAAAAAAUUUGAGAACUGCUGAGAGAACCAGAGGAGCAGUGAUUCAUGGUCACAGAAGCAGUAAGUAGGAAAAGUCAUCGAUCUCAUGUUCUGAUCCUAUUUUGUCUUAAGGAUCUUAUAUUUUAGAUAUCAGGGUACAAUUUUUGCUGAUUCACUUGUUCUUAACUUCCAAAAAUAUUUUGUAUUAUUGACACUGACAAAGGAAAACUGAUUAAUUGACAGAAAUAUCUGUAAGAGAUAAUCAGAAUUGUGAAAUGAUAAAUCAUUAAUUUGCUGGGACUGUUGAGUUGAGGACAAUUACAUUGUAGAUAGUUUAAGGAGUGUACCAAGAUUAUACUGAAAAGGAGAA